Ictidomys tridecemlineatus (thirteen-lined ground squirrel) is the source of this 2007-nucleotide long non-coding RNA. The record is from Ensembl. NCBI's taxonomy places the organism in Eukaryota, Metazoa, Chordata, Mammalia, Rodentia, Sciuridae.
AUUAUCCUGACAAAUUAAAUAAACCACUCCAUUGCAGAAAGGCUCGGGCCGGCAGGCCUCGCUCCACUGCAGCCCCGGGAAGUCGAAUCAACACUGAGGUGGAACUGCUGGCAGUUCCAGCUAACUUCAGCCAGGGAGGAAAAUGCCAGGGGGUGCUCAGGACCUGAGCGGGUCAGCGGCACCCCGAGCCGCCCUGCAGCAGGUACCGACCACUGCGCCGAGGGCUGAGGCUCCCGGAAGUGCGGAGAGUUCCUUCCCACUGUGUGGCCCUGGAAGCGUGAAUGGUCAUCCCCUGCAGGGGGGCUACUGCAAAUUACCUGCUCUGCUGUUCCUGCAAGUGGCUCUUCCCUCAGCAGGAGGCUUAGGUGUCCAGGAAGCUGUGCUCACAAAGAUCUUCAUUUAGGAAAAUCAUCCGAAAGCCCUUUAAAAGCUCCCAAGCAACAGGGCUUCCCGUGUGUCAACCUAUUUAACUCUCAUGGCAACUCUACAUGUUCUACUUGUAUAAUUUGCAUUUUAAGAAUAAAGAGAUUGUGACCCAGAGACAUGGAAUAACUGAACCAAGAACACACAGUGGUCGAGGGCAUAGCUGUGGUUUGAACCCGACCCUGACUCACUUCAAAGCACAUUCUCUCUCUGCAUGAGAGACAGGAUCGAAGACUGACAUUUUAAUCUGCUCUGUGCAAGCAGAAAAGAGUUCUUCGGGAGACAAGUGGCCACUAUGAGCAGCCAAGAAGCCAGUGGAUAAAAUAUGCUUUCACUGUGUAUUCUGUGCAAAUGAUCUCAACCAUAAAAUCUGACAGCUUGUAAAUAAUGGCGUAAGGAAUCCAGAGAGAAGAGAGGUAAAAUUAAUGCAGAGGCUGGCUGUCCCAACCCUGUAGCUGUGGCCCAAUUCUCUGCUUCCCAACCCAUAACAGCAUUUCACGGACAGUCACUUCAUUUCAAUGUUCCUGCACUCUCUGUCAGUGUCUAAAUGAUGGAGGGCUUAUAACCCGAAUGGUCAUUUAUUUUAGGAAGCACACAGGAUUGAAAGCAAGUUUAUAUUUUAUAAUCAUAGAAACUAGUUUAUAUUUCAACAAGGAUAAAGCAGCAUGGAUGAUAAUAAGUAACUAGACAUUAAAAAUUAAAUAUGUACCUGCUAAACUAAGACUUAAAGUAAUCAGAGAAACUCACCAACUGUCUUUAGACUGUAGGGUUGGCAGAAUGUAUUUUUAUCAUUAUUUUAAAAUACAAAAUGGUCAGUCUUUUUUCCUGUAAAACACUGAAUCUAAACACACACUCCAGGAACGUGCCAAACACAGUCGUGAAGCAUUCACGACACUGCUGUCUGGGGACCCACCGUAGGAGCCGUCACCAAGCAGUGUGCUGCAUUAUUCUUCUCCAAAUCUACGAGGCCAGUCUGAAAACCUGUAGGAGAGCAGUGCUUCCAGAGAUCCUCUCACCAUGCAGAUGAGACGCCUGGGGACCCCUGAGCUCUGCCGCUCUGCCGCUCCUGCUGACAUGUGUGCUGCUGGUCACGGAGCACCGCGUUUCCAAGAGGCCAAGUUCAGAAGGGCAGCCCUUGAAGGACAGAGGGUAUUAGAACACCUGCGGUUGUACCAACAGAAAGAAUGCUCGAUCGUCUCCCAAUUGUUCUUCACGUGUAAGUAAGAUGGUCUUCAGGAGCCAAAUAAGACUUUAUUUAGCUCAGCAUGGCUUUAAUGUUAUCUCUGUCACUGCACAUGACUACCCAACUGGCAAAUGAAACCCAUUUUUUCAGAUUUUUUUAUCAAGAUGCAGAGCUUCAGUGUUUGAGAUCAGCUGGAAGAAGGCAGAGAGCUCAGCCUCAAGGAAAAGUCCUUCCAAGUGCAUCUCAUCGGAAGAGGGUGAGUUUUGUGUGUGUGUGUGCGUGUGUGUGUGUGCAAAUGUCUCCAAGAUAGCGAGAUGGUAAAACAAAAAGUGUGUGUUCGUGUCAAGUAGCAAAGAAAAAAAUAGAAAGGAUGAGGCAGGAAAGGUCCCCACAGUCAGCCC